UUGCCCUUGUGGUUUUGAUCCGCCCGUGCUUUAGAAGUUGAGUGGUUAGGCCACGAAGGAGUGCUUUGCGUUGGUCAGGUGGCCGAUUCAGCUUCGGGACCCGCCUUCCAUGUCUCAUGGCAGACACACGGCCACCAUUGUCAAUAAUGGUGAAGUUAUGCUCAAAACCAUUGUUUCCUAUACCAAAAUUGAACAAGAUUAUAGCAAGGCUAAACAAAGCUAUGGUCAAAACCACUGUUUCAUGCUAAAGAUUUACAUUCAUGGUAUGGAGAUGAUUGUUUGAGAAGAAAACAUUCUCCAGACUCUGAUUUUGCCUAAUUUGAUGCAAAUAUGGAAUCUUUUUAGGGUAAGGUUUAUCAGCAAGCUGAUAACCUAAAACUUGCUUCCAAUGUUCGACAAUCAUAUUACUGUUUAAGACUAUCAUCAGCCCUCGCUAUGUCCUUUAUUCGAUAAAACCUAGAAUUUCUUCCUACUGUAACAUCCUUCUAAGACCAGAAUUCUAUCCAUCAAAUUAAUCAAACUUAUGCAAGCAAACAAGGUUAAAACCAGCCUAAAUUUGCACAAAAUUAUCAGCAAUAACCAAAUGCACAGCAGAAAAUACAUCAAACCGACACCAUAUUCUACAUUAUAGCACAGAAGAACAGACAGUCGAAUAGAUUAUACACUUUACCUGAAGAAGUGAGAUUCAGAAGUGGAUGAAGAGGGGCGAGUCCAAGGAAAGAUCCAAAAACAGGCUUCGAAUUAGGUUUAGACCGCGUAAACGUUGGUGGCCGAAAUGAACAGCGAACUGAAGAAUGGGGAUUUGAAGAAAUCGAACAAGAAAUCGAAGGGAGGGAAGAUUUCAGAGACGACA
RNAcentral lists this long non-coding RNA (853 nucleotides) under Lactuca sativa (garden lettuce). Its description in RNAcentral is "long non-coding RNA (LSAT_LNC009172)". The record is from RNAcentral. Lineage: Eukaryota; Viridiplantae; Streptophyta; Magnoliopsida; Asterales; Asteraceae.